GGGACAUAAUUACAGAUUAUAAUGACUUAUACUGUGUUUUUACAUGUUGCGUUGCAUCGUGCUGCAAAAACAUAAAACCAUGUCUGCAUUUGUGAUAGGAGAAAUGACAAACAACAAGCGCUGCUCUACACCAUCGGUUCUCAAUUCCAGUCCUCGCGCCCCACAGCUCGAGACAAGGGUAGCUGCAGCCUGGAGCAAUGGGCGUGCCGAAAAGUAUGGGUGUGCCAAAAGGUAGGGGCGUAUCAAAAGGUUUCUCAUUGGUGAAGGGAGUUUUACUGUGUUGGCCAAUCAGCGGUAAAUAUACAUUUACGUAAUUUCCUUUAGACAAAAGAAGGUGGCGGCGAUAAGACGUGAGGUAAUUAUUCAUCAUACGUUUAUCUAUGCUUUAUAUACCACAAAUAUGUAUAUUAGAUUGUUACAAAACAAUCAUAAUUUUUCCUUUGCAUUAUAUGUUGCAGCUUUAGUAAUUGGUUUAUUGUUGUUGACAGACAUAUGUACAGUGAGACAAAACGAUGACCGCAUAUGCAUCGAAGGUGAAGCCCUCAAAGUUGGUAGUUUGUAUCUGCGUCCUUUUUGUGCAAUACAGUACAGAAUACAUCCUGUAUCCAACUAAUGCAGAGUAUAUUCAAGUUGCCAACACAGUGGUUGUGAAGAACCCUUUCCAGAGAAAUAUAAAAGGAAAUGACUGUGAAACUUGUGUUGGGGAGUAUCAGAAAACACAUCCAGACACCUGGACUGUCAAAGACCACACGGCAGGAACAUUCUCCUGGAGAUGUUGAGAAAGCACGGAAGGAAUGUCUGUGGAGGAUGUACUCAAAAAACACCCAUACUUAAGAACACCCGCUGGAGUGAGUAUAAAAAAAAAAAAAAAAAAAAAAAAAAAAAAUCAACUGUAAAAUAUCUUGUUUCAAAUCUUUUCUUGUAAUAUUUUAUUCUUCUCUACCUUUUUAGCCCCUCUGUUAAAAUUUUUUAACAAUAGUUUUAGAAAACAAUGCAAGAUUUAUCAGUGUAAACAAGAACAUGAAAUGCAUUGUAUAUUUUGACCCUUAUACAUUAGCUUCAGAUUGUUUUUGCAGUUCUGCACUGUAUGUAGCUACACUAUCUGAGCCACAGAAGAUGGAACAGAAAUUGAAAAGUGUUUAAUUAUUUUAUUAUUAUUAUUUAUUUUUUUAAUUAUUAUUUAGGGGGCCCUGCUACACCCUUUCCUACCAUACAACUGAUGGAUACUGACUGAAAAAUGGCAAUCAUAGGAGGAGGGCUCAGUGUGGUGACAGAAGAUGGAAUAGACGUGUGUCAGUGCACCAGCCUUGAUGAAGCCUUCAUAACAGCCUUCUUUAUGUAUUUUGUUUUCAACAUUCCAUAUCCAACAUACCGGAGAAAGACACUGACUUUCCUUCAGAGGCACAUUGUGGAAGAUGGAGGCAAGCACUGCCAGUAACUUUACUCCGGAUGAUUAGCCUUUUGUAUUAGAUCCUCAUGCCUCAACUGUACCAUUGCCCAAAGUGCACUCGAAGGACAUUCACUCUUUUGAAGUUUAUCCAACAUGUUGGAGUUGUACAUGCACAUAAACCAAAAAUUAGUAUAACCUGUGGUAUAGAUGAGUUCUAAUCACCUUUUUUGGGAUUCCAUUCUUUUAGAAAACAUGCACAGGAAGCAUAUUUACUUUUGGUAACAAAAAUGACUGUCUCAGUGAAGAGUCAGCAGAACAAUUAUAUUAUAAUAUAACGGAGAAAGGUCUGGCUGCAGACUUGCACUUGCACUCUCAGACUUGCACUCUCA
Cyprinus carpio (common carp) is the source of this 1779-nucleotide long non-coding RNA. Lineage: Eukaryota; Metazoa; Chordata; Actinopteri; Cypriniformes; Cyprinidae. The record is from Ensembl.